GAAGAGUUUACAGUUCAGCCAACAGCUCUCACAAGCUGACUGUCCUGUUUGCUUCUACACUAUAGCAGCAAGGGAAUGGUUACUACUGCUGAGCCAUCCUGAGCUGUGAUGGGUCUUUGGUCUUCAUUCAUAGAAGGCAGAAAAAUUAAAAAGGAAAAUUAAUCUCUCAGGGGAAAACAAAGCAAAGCAGAAACCUCUGCUUCAUCUCAUGGCCUGCUUAAACACAGGUCUGGACUAGAACAUUUGCUGUGACCAUUUAGUGACCCAUGCUUGUCCCAGAUUCAUCUUAUGAACUGGAAAAAGCAAUUGGUCUGCCCGCAUGUCCUGAAGUACUGAUAUUUGUCAAAUUCACUGCUUUGAAAGCCCUAGAUUUGAACUACUGGAUAUGCAGAGAGAGAAGCAAAUAAACGCUGGCUGUGAUAUGUGUGUUUCAUCUGGGUAAUAUCCUGGAUCCAGAGGACUGCCUGCAACUGUGACUGACUGUGUUAAGUCUGUUUUAUCCACACUGAAGUCUUUUCUUUCUUUGCUGAAGACUCAGGAAGCCUUGGGAAAGAGCGUGCCUCUUGCUUGCUUUCCUGUCUGAUUUGAUCUUACCAAGGGGCCAUGGUGGAUCAUGAAAAUCUCCCUGCUCCCAACUGAGCAGUCACAGAGAAGCACUGGAUGUCCAUCUUCCUCCUUUGGCCUUGUCCUCAUUUGGAUACUGACCCUCUCCCCAGCACAGAUCGUCUCUCCUCUGCUAGACAUCCUUGUGUUCCCAUGCCCCAGUUUCCCAGGAAUGGAUGUGAAUGCAGCUGUUGGGAGAGUCGGUGCCCAUCUGCCUGGGUCGAAUGCUGCACUGGGAGCAACACUGCUGUUGCCUGUGGGGCAGAGCCAGGAUGUGAGUGAACACUUCAGAAUCAGGCUGGGGUGUGCAAGUUCAAGCACAGGUAAAAGUUUUGUUAACAUUUGUUGGGUUUUUUUAACCUCAGAUGCAUAG
RNAcentral lists this long non-coding RNA (976 nucleotides) under Junco hyemalis (dark-eyed junco). Its description in RNAcentral is "lncRNA (ENSJHYG00000001675.1)". The record is from RNAcentral. Lineage: Eukaryota; Metazoa; Chordata; Aves; Passeriformes; Passerellidae.